Phrynosoma platyrhinos (Desert horned lizard) is the source of this 72-nucleotide non-coding RNA. Lineage: Eukaryota; Metazoa; Chordata; Lepidosauria; Squamata; Phrynosomatidae. The record is from the annotation of a GenBank genome assembly.
GACAGUGUGGCUUAGUGGUUUGAGUGUUGGACUAUGCCGCUGGAGACCAGGGUUCAAAUCCCUGCUCAGCUA